RNAcentral lists this small RNA (1228 nucleotides) under Rattus norvegicus (Norway rat). RNAcentral's name for it is "uncharacterized LOC102546326". Lineage: Eukaryota; Metazoa; Chordata; Mammalia; Rodentia; Muridae. The record is from RNAcentral.
GCUGGAAAAGGGAGCAGGAUGAAAUACAGCGUGGGCUAAAUGGCACCACCUACAGCUCCUGUCUAGACCUUGGAACUGCGACUACGACCUUUACGUGGGGAAGAACAAGUCCUGGAAUUUAUGUACCCUCGGCCUGCCUUUGCCAACACGACGAUGUCGGUGUGAUGGGAGCUCUGUGCUGUGAUGGUGGAACAAGCUUGAACCAUUGUGUUAAAUGAUGGACAGCUGAAUUCCUGUUCAGUGAUUCUCAUGGCUCCGUGGCGGUGACGCAUCCAGAUGGGAAAGCAGAAAUGCGGUGCAUGGGAAAGAGCUUUGGCAUCUCACACACCGCGGACCAAGAAUACACGGAAGGACUCAUGAGGGCAAGGUGGAUGACUGCCAGUUUGUCUGCGUUGCCCAGCAAUGAGCCAAGUAGAAAAGAACCUGCAGAGAGUCGAGGAAGAAGGAGAGAUGGCGAUACUGAAGGGGCACUGAGAACCUGAUGGGACUGGAGCAAGGAAGAGCCACAUUGUCAUCAAGUUAGGGGCACCUCAGAGGGCUGACCAUACAUUUGGUAGAAUAGCAUUCUGUAGUGGACUCAACACUCAAACAAGACUUCCUGUCGACAUACUGGACUUUCCUUCCAGCCCGAUGGAAGUGGGCAAGAAGUUAUUGGAGCGGUUCAAUGGCCCGAGCCUCAGGGCUAAGCUUGGAAAUGCAUUCUAUUUUAGCCCCUAGAUGUGAACUACUAGAAGAUAAAAUUUGGAAUAUCAUUUAUCCUCACAUUAAUUUAAUGAAAACAAUGAAGAAGAUAACUGAUGCAGAUAUUGUAAGAGAUUGUAAGAACCUGUAAGAGAUUUCUAUACUCUCAGUCUCAGAAAUACUUUCUUACUUUAAACACAAGCUCAGUGUAUGGUUCUCUUGGGAAUAUGGUAAAACAACCAAAUGUCUGCAUGCCAGACCACAGCAUGGCUUGGUGGGCCGUGUGUGCCUGGUGGAUGUUAGAUGUUUGCAACACUGGGCCAGCUUGCCCUCCUGUGCUGCUGAAGGCCUUGGGGCCCUUUUCUGAUCUGAUCAUCCAGCAGCUUUUGUGAGCUCUGUCAAGGCCACACUCGAUGAACAGCUUCCCAUACAAGUGUUGGCUCCUCCCCUUCACAACCUUCCCCACCCAGAGCUUUCUAGAUUACUGCUCUUUGCUUUCUUCGUCUAAUCUGCCCUUGAACUUUGUAGUUUCUGUCUGAUAAUUUGU